This 463-nucleotide ribosomal RNA is filed under the name uncultured bacterium. Its description in RNAcentral is "SSU rRNA". It matches the Rfam family "Bacterial small subunit ribosomal RNA", at positions 26 to 518 of the family's 1533-position model. The record is from RNAcentral.
AGGACGAACGCUGGCGGCGUGCUUAACACAUGCAAGUCGAACGAGGCGCUUGCGCCUAGUGGCGAACGGGUGAGUAACACGUGAGCAACCUGCCCUUGGCUCUGGGAUAGCCUCCGGAAACGGGGAUUAAUACCGGACAUGACCUUCUCCUGCAUGGGGGAGGGUGGAAAGUUUUUCGGCCAGGGAGGGGCUCGCGGCCUAUCAGCUUGUUGGGGGGGUAACGGCCCACCAAGGCGACGACGGGUAGCCGGCCUGAGAGGGCGACCGGCCACACUGGGACUGAGACACGGCCCAGACUCCUACGGGAGGCAGCAGUGGGGAAUAUUGCACAAUGGGGGAAACCCUGAUGCAGCGACGCCGCGUGCGGGAUGAAGGCCUUCGGGUUGUAAACCGCUUUCAGCAGGGGCGAAUUCAGACGGUACCUGCAGAAGAAGCGCCGGCUAACUACGUGCCAGCACGCCGC